Molecule: ribosomal RNA, 520 nt
Filed under: uncultured Glomus
Lineage: Eukaryota; Fungi; Glomeromycota; Glomeromycetes; Glomerales; Glomeraceae
Description: SSU rRNA
Rfam family: Eukaryotic small subunit ribosomal RNA
Source: RNAcentral
AGCAGCCGCGGUAAUUCCAGCUCCAAUAGCGUAUAUUAAAGUUGUUGCAGUUAAAAAGCUCGUAGUUAAAUUUCGGGGUUAGUAGGUUGGUCAUGCCUCUGGUAUGUACUGGUCUCACUGAUUCCUCCUUCCUGAUGAGCCGUAAUGCCAUUAAUUUGGUGUUGCGGGGAAUUUGGACUGUUACUUUGAAAAAUUAGAGUGUUUAAAGCAAGCUAACGCUUGAAUACAUUAGCAUGGAAUAAUGAAAUAGGACGUUCGAUCCUAUUUUGUUGGUUUCUAGGAUUGACGUAAUGAUUAAUAGGGAUAGUUGGGGGCAUUAGUAUUCAAUUGUCAGAGGUGAAAUUCUUGGAUUUAUUGAAGACUAACUACUGCGAAAGCAUUUGCCAAGGAUGUUUUCAUUAAUCAAGAACGAAAGUUAGGGGAUCGAAGACGAUCAGAUACCGUCGUAGUCUUAACCAUAAACUAUGCCGACUAGGGAUCGGAUGAUGUUAACUUUUUAAUGACUCAUUCGGCGCCUUAC